GACGUAGGAUGCAAGCGUUGUCCGGAUUUAUUGGGCGUAAAGAGUUCGUAGGUGGUUCGUUAAGUCUGAUGUUAAAGACCGAGGCUCAACUUCGGGACUGCAUUGGAUACUGGCGGACUUGAGUGUGGUAGAGGCAAUCGGAAUUCCAGGUGUAGCGGUGAAAUGCGUAGAUAUCAGGAGGAACACCGGUGGCGAAGGCGGGUCUCUGGGCAGUAACUGACGCUGAGGAGCGAAAGCGUGGGGAGCGAACAGG
RNAcentral lists this ribosomal RNA (253 nucleotides) under uncultured bacterium. RNAcentral's name for it is "partial 16S ribosomal RNA". It matches the Rfam family "Bacterial small subunit ribosomal RNA", at positions 524 to 776 of the family's 1533-position model. The record is from RNAcentral.